UUGUGGAGGCAUAUCUAGAACUCACAGGGAAUGAGGACAACUGCUACUGUCACAAUUCUGGCUUCUUAGUUCCAUGUCCCUGCCACAAGCAGCCGUGCCCCCCAACACUUGAGAACAGAGCACUAUGGAGAGAGAAUAUCCUCAAAAACGGAGUUGCUAGGAUAGCAGCACCCAAGGAGCUGGCUGACAAAAACCUGCCUGCCUCUAAAGUCACUGCUAAAGGCUCUGACUUCAGGUGAUGUCAGCUUGAGACAUCCACAGGCCCUUCAAUGCCCUUUCAAGGAGAAAAUCUUCCAAGAGGGAUACAACACAUGUGGAGUACAAGAUGGAGUCAGUUCUCAAGUCGCAAAAGAAGAAUUUGGGAAGCCAGAACAUCUUGGAAAAAGAACAAAUACGGAACAACUUUCUGCCACUCUGGAAAGAAAACAACUCACAGCUAUGGAACACUCCAUCUCCCCAAGGAAGAGCCGUGCCAGAUGCAUUCCAGCUAAUGUGUCCAUGUGUUUUCUCAUUCUCCAUGCAUGGAGCAUGAAUGUUCCAUCUACAGAGCCUGCACAGGGAAAAUAUUCUCCUCUCUCAAGUUUGCAAGUGUAAGUGGCGUGUUCAAAUUCAUGUGAGCCACAUUCAGAUACAAAACUACAAAUUCUGUGGAACUUAAAGUGAAAAAUGUAUUAUUAAAAAUAUAUAUAUUAUUGAAAGCC
Molecule: long non-coding RNA, 701 nt
Organism: Passer domesticus (house sparrow)
Lineage: Eukaryota; Metazoa; Chordata; Aves; Passeriformes; Passeridae
Exons: 3
Source: RefSeq, a predicted model, not a curated record